RNAcentral lists this ribosomal RNA (455 nucleotides) under uncultured bacterium. Its description in RNAcentral is "SSU rRNA". It matches the Rfam family "Bacterial small subunit ribosomal RNA", at positions 26 to 518 of the family's 1533-position model. The record is from RNAcentral.
AGGAUGAACGCUGGCGGCGUGCUUAAUACAUGCAAGUCGAGCGGUAAGGCCCCUUCGGGGGUACACGAGCGGCGGACGGCUGAGUAACGCGUGGGAACGUACCCCAAAGUGAGGGAUAAGCACCAGAAAUGGUGUCUAAUACCGCAUGUGCUCUAAGGAGUAAAGCUCCGGCGCUUUGGGAACGGCCUGCGUUCGAUUAGCUUGUUGGUGAGGUAAUGGCUCACCAAGGCGACGAUCGAUAGCUGGUCUGAGAGGAUGACCAGCCAGACUGGGACUGAGAACGGCCCAGACUCCUACGGGAGGCAGCAGUAGGGAAUUUUCCACAAUGGGCGAAAGCCUGAUGGAGCAACGCCGCGUGCAGGAUGAAGGCCUUAGGGUUGUAAACUGCUUUUAUGUAUGAAGAUUAUGACGGUAGUACAUGAAUAAGGAUCGGCUAACUCCGCGCCAGCAGCCGC